UAAAACAAUACUCUCAAUCACAUCACUAGGGUAUGUAUAUAUUAUGUCAAACCCCUAAUGUGAUUAUUCCUUCUUAUAUAAUUCAAUUGAGUCGUAUAGGAACGCUUUCCUUUAUUACGCUCGAUACUUCGGCCGAAGAUUCCAGAAUCAUGUCUUAGAGUAUUCAUCCUCUCUUAACGAGGAUUAGAGAUUCCUUGUUGCGCAUUCACUUGCCUUCAUGACUAAGUGGCUUAACCUCGACUAUGCCGUGGACACCCGCGGGAUGGAGUGACUUUGACAUAAUCAAGAUCAAGUACUUAACCACAAGACAACGAUGAUGCCUUAGGUCAAAUGACUACUUACAUUAUUCCAACUAUUAGAGUUACUUGCUUGACAUGUGAGUAGACCUUCAUUCAAGUACUCUCGUUCGAUUGUGUCCAGUGAACUCAUUCCCUUAAUGAGCACCUACAUACUUGUCUUAGUGUCACUACACGAAUGGGAUGAGACUUUCCAUCAUCCUAAUUGAAGCUGACAUAGUAUGUACCGGUCUAUGCAUUGUCAGUAUCCCUCCGACAAUCCUAUGACCAGGAACCUUUUGGACAUGAUGGUUAUAUGAAGAAGGUCUCUGUAGUCUAACAUCAUUAGAUUACUUCUUCAAUCGAUCCAUUGUCCAUGGAUUCACCAUUUAGGACAUAUAUCGUUUAUAGAG
Molecule: long non-coding RNA, 688 nt
Filed under: Malus domestica (apple)
Lineage: Eukaryota; Viridiplantae; Streptophyta; Magnoliopsida; Rosales; Rosaceae
Description: long non-coding RNA (MDOM_LNC019445)
Source: RNAcentral